GGGGCAGUAGCUCAAUCUGGGAGAGCACUAGACUGAAGAUCUAGGUGUUCCGGGUUCAAAUAUUGGUUGUGGAAAAAGCUGCAUACUUGCAAGCCAUAUCCUGCAACCUAUUGAAAGUCCCGGCUGCCCCA
RNAcentral lists this transfer RNA (131 nucleotides) under Candidatus Woesearchaeota archaeon. Its description in RNAcentral is "tRNA-Phe". It matches the Rfam family "tRNA". From Rfam's summary of the family: Transfer RNA (tRNA) molecules are approximately 80 nucleotides in length. The record is from RNAcentral. Lineage: Archaea; Nanobdellati; Candidatus Woesearchaeota.